RNAcentral lists this non-coding RNA (24 nucleotides) under Arabidopsis thaliana (thale cress). The record is from RNAcentral. Lineage: Eukaryota; Viridiplantae; Streptophyta; Magnoliopsida; Brassicales; Brassicaceae.
CGUCGACAUAGACAUUAGGUUGAA